ACCCGCCUCUCUGCGCCCCUCUCCGCCCCGCCUCCCUCCUAGGUGAAGGAAGAUGAUUUCCCCCCCAUCUUGACCACCCCCCAGUCUUCGCCGCCAAAAACGGACUCCGCCGGCUAUCCUCGGCCCGGUACCAGUUGUUGGAUCCAAGAGAAUUCCGGAACCCAAACGGUCCAUUACCGCGGCUCUGGGUGAAACCGCAAGUAACCCGGAGCCCUCGGCGCGACCACGGCUAGAAUCAGAGCCUAAGGCGUGUGAGCUCAGCCAUCCCACGUCUGUCUUCACGCUCAUACGCAAGCCCGACACACCGGGGCUCCCACUUAAUGAAUACUGAAGAGUAGGGCUGUCCCUACCGCUUCUCACUUCCUUGUUUUCAUCUUUUCGUUAUUAUUAAGCGACCUAACACAAUAAACAUAUUACCUUGUUGGUAA
This 428-nucleotide long non-coding RNA is filed under the name Homo sapiens (human). Its description in RNAcentral is "SBNO1 antisense RNA 1". The record is from RNAcentral. Lineage: Eukaryota; Metazoa; Chordata; Mammalia; Primates; Hominidae.